GGGAAGGUAGCUCAGUGGUAGAGUGCUUGCCUCGCGUGCAUGAGGCCCUGGGUUCAAUUCCUCAGCACCA
Non-coding RNA from Dipodomys ordii (Ord's kangaroo rat), 70 nucleotides. Lineage: Eukaryota; Metazoa; Chordata; Mammalia; Rodentia; Heteromyidae. The record is from Rfam.